UUGGACCUCUCAGGCCAUCGGCAGCUCUCCCUCCUCCCUGCAUGCAGCACCCAUUUCCUACCUGGCCCACGUGGUCCAGCCCAGCAUCCCGGAGGUGACGGCCGCAAUGGAGGCGAGGCUGCCAGCCAGCACGAUGAAAAAGCAGUUGAAGCUCAGCGGUCCGAUGACUUGCUCAAGACCCCAGCCACCCUGUGCCCCACACCACACUCACUGGACCACAGCUCCCAGUACAUCUGCAGCCUGGCACUGUCCACAUGGGCACCUGAGGUGGAGGCCGCCCGGCAGAAGUAGAUGGAGUCUUGCUCUGUCACCCAGGCUGGAGUGCAGUGGCACGAUCUCUGCUCACCACAACCUCCGCCUCCUGAGUUCAAGUGAUUCUCCUGCCUCAGCCUCCCGAGUAGCUGGGACUGCAGGCGCAUGCCACCACGCCUGGCUAAUUUUUGUAUUUUUAGUAGAGACAGGGUUUCACCAUGUUGGUCAGGCUGGUCUCGAACUCCUGACCUCGUGAUCCACCCGCCUCGGCCUCCCAAAGUGCUGGGAUUACAGGCGUGAGCCACCGCGCCCCGCUGCAAUUUACGUCUAUAACAAACCUCCACAUGUACCCCUGAACCUAAAAAUUACAAAUAAAUAAAUGAAACCAGUAGACCUCAGAAUAAGGAAAAAACAAAGAA
Molecule: long non-coding RNA, 671 nt
Organism: Symphalangus syndactylus (siamang)
Lineage: Eukaryota; Metazoa; Chordata; Mammalia; Primates; Hylobatidae
Source: RefSeq, a predicted model, not a curated record